Molecule: long non-coding RNA, 1262 nt
Organism: Syngnathus typhle (broad-nosed pipefish)
Lineage: Eukaryota; Metazoa; Chordata; Actinopteri; Syngnathiformes; Syngnathidae
Exons: 2
Source: RefSeq, a predicted model, not a curated record
CAGGGCUCUUUGGAUCACUGAAAUCAAUCUCAGACACCUGUGAUAAUUAGUCUGCCAGGUGAGCCCAAUUAAGGAAAAACUACUUAAGAAUGGCGUUCCACAUUAUUAAGCAGAUGACCAUUUCCAAGCAACAUGGGAAAGAAAAAGGAUCUCUCUGCUGUCGAAAAGCGUGAAAUAGUUCAAUGCCUUGGACAAGGUAUGAAGACCUUAGAUAUUUCACGAAAACUUAAGCGUGAUCAUCGUACUGUAAAGAGAUUUGUGGCUGAUUCAGAGCACACACGGGUUCAUGCAGAUAAAGGCACAACGAGGAAGGUUUCUGCCAGACAAAAACAUCGGAUUAAGAGAGCAGCUGCUAAAAUGCCAUUACAGAGUAGCAAACAGAUAUUUGAAGCUGCUGGUGCCUCUGGAGUCCCACGAACAUCAAGGUGUAGGAUCCUCCAGAGUCUUGCAGUUAUGCGUAAACCCUCUAUUCGGCCACCCCUAAACAACGCUCACAAGCAGAAACGGCUGCAGUGGGCCCAGGAAUACAUGAAGACUAAUUUUCAAACAGUCUUGUUCACUGAUGAGUGCCGUGCAACCUUGGAUGGGUCCCUGAAGGUGUGAAAAUGACAUCUGUAAAGUAUGUGGAGUUUCUGACUGACCACUUUCUUCCAUGGUACAAAAAGAAGAACCGUUCUUUCCGUAGCAAAAUCAUCUUCAUGCAUGACAAUGCACCAUCUCAUGCUGCAAGGAAUACCUCUGCAUCAUUGGCUGCUAUGGGCAUAAAAGGAGAGAAACUCAUGGUGUGGCCCCCAUCCUCCCCUGACCUCAACCCUAUUGAGAACCUUUGGAGCAUCCUCAAGCAAAAGAUCUAUGAGGGUGGGAGGCAGUUCACAUCCAAACAGCAGCUCUGGGAGGCUAUUCUGACAUCCUGCAAAGAAAUUCAAGCAGAAACUCUCCAAAAACUCACAAGGUCAAUGGACGCAAGAAUUGUGAAGCUGCUAUCAAAUAAAGGGUCCUAUGUUAAAAUGUAACUUGACCUGUUAAGAUGUUUUUGAUUGAAAUAGCUUUUGAUUUCAGUAAAUAUGACCUCCUAAUGCUGUAAAUUCUAAAGAUGAGCAUUUCAGUUCAUAACAACCUAUAAAAUGUUAUAAAACUCUGUUGUGCGUAAUAAUUUGGAACAGUGCAUUUUAAGUUUUUUAUUUUUGAAAAAUUCUGUUAUCAUUGGGAGGUUUGUUCAAUAACAUUCGAAUUCAUUAAACUAAUGGUUGAUGACUUGAAAA